This 443-nucleotide ribosomal RNA is filed under the name uncultured bacterium. RNAcentral's name for it is "partial 16S ribosomal RNA". It matches the Rfam family "Bacterial small subunit ribosomal RNA", at positions 338 to 795 of the family's 1533-position model. The record is from RNAcentral.
CCUACGGGAGGCAGCAGUGGGGGAUAUUGGACAAUGGGGGAAACCCUGAUCCAGCGACGCCGCGUGAGUGAAGAAGUAUUUCGGUAUGUAAAGCUCUGUCAGCAGGGAAGCAAGAAAUGACGGUACCUGACCAAGAAGCCACGGCUAACUACGGGCCAGCAGCCGCGGUAAUGCGUAGGGGGCAAGCGUUAUCCGGAAUGACUGGGUGUAAAGGGAGCGUAGACGGUGAUGCAAGUCUGGAGUGAAAGGCGGGGGCCCAACCCCCGGACUGCUCUGGAAACUGUGUAACUUGAGUGCAGGAGAGGUAAGCGGAAUGCCUGGUGUAGCGGUGAAAUGCGUAGAUAUUAGGAGGAACACCGGUGGCGAAGGCGGCUUACUGGACUGUAACUGACGUUGAGGCUCGAAAGCGUGGGGAGCGAACAGGAUUAGAUACCCUGGUAGUC